CUACGGGUCGCUGCAGUGGGGAAUAUUGCACAAUUGAGGAAACUCUGAUGCAGCAACGCCGCGUGGAGGAUGACACUUUUCGGAGCGUAAACUCCUUUUAUAUAGGAAGAAGAUGACGGUACUAUAUGAAUAAGCGCCGGCUGACUCCGUGCCAGCAGCCGCGGUAAUACGGAGGGCGCAAGCGUUACUCGGAAUCACUGGGCGUAAAGAGCGUGUAGGCGGAUUAAAAAGUCAGAAGUGAAAUCCUAUAGCUUAACUAUAGAACUGCUUCUGAAACUCUUAAUCUAGAAUAUGGGAGAGGUAGGUGGAAUUUCUGGUGUAGGGGUAAAAUCCGUAGAGAUCAGAAGGAAUACCGAUUGCGAAGGCGAUCUACUAGAACAUUAUUGACGCUGAGACGCGAAAGCGUGGGGAGCAAACAGGAUUAGAUACCCGCGUAGUC
Molecule: ribosomal RNA, 439 nt
Filed under: uncultured bacterium
Lineage: Bacteria
Description: partial 16S ribosomal RNA
Rfam family: Bacterial small subunit ribosomal RNA
Source: RNAcentral